This 125-nucleotide ribosomal RNA is filed under the name Microtus ochrogaster (prairie vole). Lineage: Eukaryota; Metazoa; Chordata; Mammalia; Rodentia; Cricetidae. The record is from RNAcentral.
ACAGCCAACAGUACCAGCUUGAAUGGGCCUGAUCUCAUCUGCUCUCGGAAACAAAGCAAGGUCCAGUCUGGUUAGUACUUGGAUGGGAGUGUAGUGAUAAGCAAAACAGCCAGCCACUGGCUCUU